RNAcentral lists this ribosomal RNA (62 nucleotides) under Lactobacillus apis. RNAcentral's name for it is "partial 23S rRNA. Bacterial LSU". Lineage: Bacteria; Bacillati; Bacillota; Bacilli; Lactobacillales; Lactobacillaceae. The record is from RNAcentral.
AGGAGUGGAAGAGCCGUGAGGUUUGGAGCGGACUAGUACUAAUCAGUCGAGGACUUGACCAC